RNAcentral lists this ribosomal RNA (228 nucleotides) under uncultured bacterium. RNAcentral's name for it is "partial 16S ribosomal RNA". It matches the Rfam family "Bacterial small subunit ribosomal RNA", at positions 102 to 334 of the family's 1533-position model. The record is from RNAcentral.
ACGGGUGAGUAAUGUCUGGGAAACUGCCUGAUGGAGGGGGAUAACUACUGGAAACGGUAGCUAAUACCGCAUAACGUCGCAAGACCAAGAGGGGGACCUUCGGGCCUCUUGCCAUCGGAUGUGCCCAGAUGGGAUUAGCUAGUAGGUGGGGUAACGGCUCACCUAGGCGACGAUCCCUAGCUGGUCUGAGAGGAUGACCAGCCACACUGGAACUGAGACACGGUCCAG